GACGAACGCUGGCGGCGUGCUUAACACAUGCAAGUCGAACGGAAAGGCCCUGCUUUUGUGGGGUGCUCGAGUGGCGAACGGGUGAGUAACACGUGAGUAACCUGCCCUUGACUUUGGGAUAACUUCAGGAAACUGGGGCUAAUACCGGAUAGGAGCUCCUGCUGCAUGGUGGGGGUUGGAAAGUUUCGGCGGUUGGGGAUGGACUCGCGGCUUAUCAGCUUGUUGGUGGGGUAUUGGCUUACCAAGGCUUUGACGGGUAGCCGGCCUGAGAGGGUGACCGGCCACAUUGGGACUGAGAUACGGCCCAGACUCCUACGGGAGGCAGCAGUGGGGAAUAUUGCACAAUGGGCGGAAGCCUGAUGCAGCAACGCCGCGUGCGGGAUGACGGCCUUCGGGUUGUAAACCGCUUUCGCCUGCGACGAAGCGUGAGUGACGGUAAUGGGUAAAGAAGCACCGGCUAACUACGUG
This 468-nucleotide ribosomal RNA is filed under the name uncultured bacterium. RNAcentral's name for it is "partial 16S ribosomal RNA". It matches the Rfam family "Bacterial small subunit ribosomal RNA", at positions 28 to 507 of the family's 1533-position model. The record is from RNAcentral.